Lachnospiraceae bacterium A2 is the source of this 73-nucleotide transfer RNA. It matches the Rfam family "tRNA". Rfam says of the family: Transfer RNA (tRNA) molecules are approximately 80 nucleotides in length. Their secondary structure includes four short double-helical elements and three loops (D, anti-codon, and T loops). Lineage: Bacteria; Bacillati; Bacillota; Clostridia; Lachnospirales; Lachnospiraceae. The record is from Rfam.
GCCAAAGUGGCGCAGUUGGUAGCGCGUCGCAUUCGUAAUGCGUAGGUCGAGGGUUCGAGUCCCUUCUUUGGCU